Molecule: ribosomal RNA, 468 nt
Filed under: uncultured bacterium
Lineage: Bacteria
Description: partial 16S ribosomal RNA
Rfam family: Bacterial small subunit ribosomal RNA
Source: RNAcentral
GACGAACGCUGGCGGCGUGCUUAACACAUGCAAGUCGAACGGAAAGGCCCUGCUUUUGUGGGGUGCUCGAGUGGAGAACGGGUGAGUUACAUGUGAGUACCCUGUCCCUGACUUUGGGAUAACUUAAGGCAACUGGGGCUCAUACCGGCUAGGAGUUCUUGCCGCAUGGUGGGCGCUGGAAAGUUUCGGUGGUUGGGGAUGGAAUCGCGGCCUGUCAGCUUGUUCGUGUGGUAGUGGCUUACCAAGGCCAUGACGGGUAGCCUGCCUGAACGGGUAACCGGCCACAUUAGAACUGAGAUACGACCCGGACUCCAACGGGAGGCGGCAGUGGGGUAUGGUACACAAGAGGCGGAGCGCUGAUGCAGCAACGCCACGUGGGGUGAGACAGCCAUCGGGUUGUGAACCACAUUCGCCUGUGACGAAGCGAUAGUGACGGUAAUGGGUAAAGAAGCACCGGCUAACCCCGUG